UUAAAUAAGGGUUUGAAUCCAGAAAUUAAAAUUUGAGAUUGAGGCAAAUGUAACCGAUUAAACAAUUGGGUUGAGUGUAUUGUAAAAAAAAAAAAGUCCCGCUGUACGACGUCACCUGAAAGAGCACUGAGACCACAUCCUCCAGAACCAACGAGUGUAUUAAACACAAAUUAUUAUUUUUAAAACCCUAUCAAAAUAACGAGUACAGUAUACAUGUCAGCGAACACUUGUGAACCCGCGGAAGCUUACCUGGAGACGGGGUGCCGGAGUUUCGACCACUUUUCUUCUAGCCUUGGAAACGUCAACUGGGAGUGGCAAUAAACAGCUUUGAAGUCAGCACAUUUGGAAGACAUAUUCGCUGUGGAUAUUUCGUUACAGAUUCAGCAAAGCUCCCGAAGCCCAAGUUCACAGGAUGCCAAAACAAGCGCAGGUGGAGGCGACCGUGCAAACAACUUGCUGCCAGCAGCAGGUGAAAAACAACAAUAGCAAGGCGGGAUAAGCUGGGCGGACGACAGAUGGACGCACAGGGGCCUGACUUGGCGGCGGCGGCGGCAGAAUGGCAAAAAGAGAAAAAAAAAAGAUGGUGAAAAAAAAGAUGGUGGACAGAUGAAGGAGGCACAGGAGAACAAGUCGAUACAGACAUCUCGUGGGGUUCAAGUGCAAGCGGGGAAGUGUGGGGGGGUUGUCCCAGAGGGGCCCUGGACACAGAGAGCCUCACUUUUUCUUCCUUGUUGUAAUGUUCAAAAUGUCAAUUGGUGUAAUUAAAGGUACACUUCACACUUUCGCUGGUUGGUUGGUUUGGAGACUUGGGCUGGGGUCGGCAGCAAGUGCAAGUCAGGGAGCACCUGGGGGCUCUCCUGACAUGAAGAUGAUGGAAUUGUCAAUUGGGGUGCAAUUAUUAUUUUUUUUCCUUCUUGUGUCUAGUUGAGUUUUUGAGUUCCCGACAACGGCGAUAAAUAAUGUGCUUUCUGUGGUCCCAGUCAGUUCAUGGUUUGUAGUUGGACUUGGGAUGCGAGGCAGCAGAGAAUCCUGUGAAAAAUAGAAACGGCAGGAGAGAACGAGUGAAGAACUUUAGACAUCAUAAGUACAAGUAGAGCGAGGGUGCUUGACAGCCGUCUCGCAGCAGCGCAUCACCGCCUGGCAGGAAGAUGUUCAAAAUAUCACUCGGGUAUGUAAUUAAAGGUUCUUUCACACGGAUACAUUUUCUUUUGUUUUGUUUUGCUUUUCUAAACGCUGGGGGCAAAAUAUCCUGAAAAGACUUUGGGCAGGGUGUGGUUGACGGCCAUCAGGUGUUUGAACCUUACUGGUUUCAAUUGUAAAUUGUACUUGAGGAGUUAACAUCC
Long non-coding RNA from Hippocampus zosterae (dwarf seahorse), 1343 nucleotides. RefSeq lists it as uncharacterized. The record is from RefSeq and is a predicted model, not a curated record. NCBI's taxonomy places the organism in Eukaryota, Metazoa, Chordata, Actinopteri, Syngnathiformes, Syngnathidae. The transcript has 5 exons.